RNAcentral lists this long non-coding RNA (1397 nucleotides) under Anser cygnoides (Swan goose). RNAcentral describes it as "lncRNA (ENSACDG00005007931.1)". Lineage: Eukaryota; Metazoa; Chordata; Aves; Anseriformes; Anatidae. The record is from RNAcentral.
GGGGAAAAACGGGCGGUUUUGGGCAAAAGGCGGCGUUUUGGGGGAAAAGAGGGGAUUUUGGGGUGCGGGGGGGGCUGUUUGGGGGUCCAGAAGGGCGUUUUGGGGCAAACGGGGGCUGUUUGGGGUGCGGGACGCCAUUUUGGGGCAAAUUAGGGAAUUUUAGGGGUUCAGGAGGCUGUUUUGGGGCAAAAGUGGCCAUUUUGGGGCAAAGGAGGCCGUUUUGGGGCAAAUUAGGCAAUUUUGGGGGUGCAGGAGGCCGUUUUGGGGCAAAAAAAGGCCAUAUUGGAGGAACGGGGGUCACUUGGGACUGUGAAAAGGGUUUCGGGGUGUAAGAGGCUGUCUUGGGAGGUGGGAAGGUAUUUUGGGGGUCCAGGAGGCCAUUUUGGGGGAAAAAAGCCCGUUUUGGGGCGCGACCUCCCGCGAUGCCGGUGCCCAACAGCCGCCUCCGACCUUCCCCUUCCCGCUCCCCAAAUUCCCAUCGCCCCCUUGGCCAACGGAGACCGAAAACGACCGUUUUUCGCCCCAAAAUGAUUUCUAAUCAUCCCCUUGGGCAACCGAGGCCGCGCCGCCUCUUCCAACCCAACUCAACCCAACCCAACUCAACCCAACCCAACCCAACUCAACCCAACUCAACCCAACCCAACCCAUGGAGACCCUUCAACCCAACUCAACCCAACCCAACCAAUGGAGACCCUUCAACCCAACCCAACCCAACGGUUGCUUCCGUGCCCCGUUGGCCAUCUUGGCCACUCAUCCCCCCCCCCUUGGGCUCGCGUCGGCCAUUUUGGCCACCCCGGGGCUCGCGUCGGCCAUCUUGGCCACCCCGGAGCUUGCGAAGGAGCUGCCGAGGCCGCUGGGGUCCGGGGCGUGGUUUAUUGAGGGGGCGCCCUCCGAAGCCGACGUCGGGGUGAAAUUUUUGGGGGAAAAAAGAAGAGAAGAGGGCUUUUUCCUCUCCCCGAACCCUAUCGGAGGAGGGGUCGGGGGCCUCCCGCCCGCGCCGGGCUCCUCUCGAGGUCAGGGCUCGCUCCUGUCGACGCCGGUCAUGGGUAGCAGACGGCCAGGAGCAGCCCCAGGAGCAGCGCAGCGGCGGCGGCACCGCAGCCGGCCACCAGCGGGACGGGCAGGGCCGCGGCUGUCCGAGAGACCCCAAAAAAACCCCUAAAGGUGAUUAUCGAGAGGCUGAGGGUCGACCAAGAGCUUUUGAGGCCAAGAGGAGCGUUACAAGAGGUGGCGUUGGCCCGUGGAGAGGACCCAGAGGGGGGAUUUUAACAGUUUCCAGCUGACGAGGGUGAGUUCGAACAAUUUUAAUUACCCUCGGCUAACGAGGGAAGACGGGAGGGCGUUUUCGACCAGUUUUUGACCCGUUUUUUCCUCCAAUUUCAGAAACCGGAGCUGAA